CCCUUAGAUGUUCUGGGCAGCACGCGCGCUACAAUGGUCUUCGCAAACGGAUGCAUUCUCGAAGGAGAAUGCCAAUCUUGGAAUCUAUGCCUUGGUCGGGACAGUUGCUUGCAAUUUUUCGACUCGAACCAGGAAUUCCUUGUAAUCGUGAUUCAUCACAUCACGAUGAAUACGUCCCUGCCCUUUGUACACACCGCCCGUCGCUACUACCGAUUGAAUGGUUUAGCGAGAACCUCGGAUCAGAUCCCUAUUGUGUGCAAACGCAGUGUUGGAUAUGAAAAGAUGUUCAAGCUUGAUCAUUUAGAGGAAGUAAAAGUCGUAACA
This 324-nucleotide ribosomal RNA is filed under the name uncultured eukaryote. Its description in RNAcentral is "partial 18S ribosomal RNA". It matches the Rfam family "Eukaryotic small subunit ribosomal RNA", at positions 1470 to 1796 of the family's 1831-position model. The record is from RNAcentral.